UACGUAGGCAGCAAGCGUUGUUCGGAGUUACUGGGCGUAAAGGGUGCGUAGGUGGCUCUAUAAGUAUGGUGUGAAAUCUCCCGGCUUAACUGGGAGGGUGCGCCGUAGACUGUGGGGCUAGAGUGUGGGAGAGGAAAGUGGAAUUCCUGGUGUAGCGGUGAAAUGCGUAGAUAUCAGGAGGAACACCGGUGGUGUAAACGGCUUUCUGGACCAUAACUGACACUGAGGCACGAAAGCUAGGGGAGCAAACAGG
Molecule: ribosomal RNA, 253 nt
Filed under: uncultured bacterium
Lineage: Bacteria
Description: partial 16S ribosomal RNA
Rfam family: Bacterial small subunit ribosomal RNA
Source: RNAcentral